AGCGGGGUGGGGUGCCAGGAUAUCCCGCGGGGCUCAUAACCCCGAGAUCGGUGGUUCAAAUCCACCCCCCGCUACCA
Molecule: transfer RNA, 77 nt
Filed under: Candidatus Wukongarchaeota archaeon
Lineage: Archaea; Promethearchaeati; Candidatus Wukongarchaeota
Description: tRNA-Met
Rfam family: tRNA
About the family: Transfer RNA (tRNA) molecules are approximately 80 nucleotides in length. Their secondary structure includes four short double-helical elements and three loops (D, anti-codon, and T loops). Further hydrogen bonds mediate the characteristic L-shaped molecular structure. tRNAs have two regions of fundamental functional importance: the anti-codon, which is responsible for specific mRNA codon recognition, and the 3' end, to which the tRNAs corresponding amino acid is attached (by aminoacyl-tRNA synthetases). tRNAs cope with the degeneracy of the genetic code in two manners: having more than one tRNA (with a specific anti-codon) for a particular amino acid; and 'wobble' base-pairing, i.e. permitting non-standard base-pairing at the 3rd anti-codon position.
Source: RNAcentral